AGUACAAAAGCUAAUACUAAUGUGACCUCUACCAUUUUCAGUAUUAUUAUUUAUUUUUUUCCUUGUUGUUUAUUUAGGGAAGGAAUAAAUAGCUUCAUUAAAUUCCCCUUUCUUAUUUUAUAUUUAUAUCUUCGUUUAUACUUUGAGGUCAAAAUUAUGUGUUUAAUAAAGUACCUCCCACAAAGUCAUCAGUAAGAGAUGCACUUUUCAUUAUUUAUUUAUUGGUUGCUUAAUUAAUUUAGUACCAUUAAUUGAUUAUGAGAAGAAAAUAUCCAAAUGUAUUUUCCAAGGGAUUCAACAAUUCUCAAAACACUAUGAUAAAUAUAUUUGUUUAUUUAUUUAUUUAUUUAUUUUAUACCCAAUUUUAGGGCCUUACAAAUCCUACCACCUUAAAAAUAAUCUCGUCCUCGAGAUUUGUACGGACAUGGAUGUAAAAGAAAACUUUUUUAUAGUUUAGCUUUUAACUUCUAAGAAGUGUCAUGUUAUUUAGAAAGUGGUUAUGAAAGCAUGGGUAUAUAUAUGUAUGGUCACCUUAUUGUGUAGGAUGAAAGAUAGGUUAGGGCAAGCAUAGCCUAGGGUGAGAAGGUUUAUAGUGGGAAAGAAUUCUGUGUUGAGUGGUAAAGCAUUAGAAGAUUGAGUUUGACUUCUCUCCUUCCUUGACGAGGUUGAUCUUUUCUUCUCCAGUCUUGGUCUCCUUGAUUCGAGGUUAGUGUAUAUCAUCGGAGUUGGGGCAUAUGGUCGAAGUAGUUAUGGGUGAGAUGGACUACAUGUUGUAGGUCAAAAUCUUGUUUGAUGUUUGGUAGGCACAGAUAGAUUAUGCAAUCCAUCAUGACUCUAUUGGUUGGGUUAGAUCUAUUAGGAUGACAUAAAAUCUUUUCAAGAUAAGAUGAAUCCUCUAAGGUAAUAGAGUAUAUUUUUAAGAUAAGAUGGAUCUAUUAAGCUUACUAUAUUUUAGUGGGGGAUAAUCUAAGUUGCCUAGUUUUUGUAUCAACAUUUUUUUAUUUACUAUAUGUAUAUAUAGAUGUAAUUGUGGACAUUACUCCACAACUCAUCGCACUCAAUCAAAGAUCCAAAUCAGACAAGCAUCAUAAGAACAAACAUUCAAGUUCAUAGAUAUCUAUAUAACAGAAAAUAAUUUUGUUUUUGUUCCUAAGAGUAGGUCACCUAUUCCUAAAGUCACUUUAAGAACAGGAUUUCAAAGUGUGAAACCCACAUUUGUCUUUAGAAUGAAAAGGUAAGAAUAAUCAGAGUGAAGCGGAAUUAGAUGAGAAAAGAUUAAGAUGAGUUUAGAAAGAGUCAGAGUAGCAGAGGUAAGGUUAAUCAGAGUAGAACAGUAGAAGGUGAAACAGGAUCAAGAUAAGUAUAGAAAGAAUCAGAGUAAGGUAAGUAGACAAUGGUUGUCCAUUUCUAUCUAGGUUUCGUCCUACAGUCAACAUUCCUCUGAUACCACUUCUGUCACACCCGGAUUUUAGGGGUCCAAAACCCGGGCGCGAACAUAAUCACCAGGUGUGCUGGGACCAAGUCUCACACAUAUGAUGAAUCAUGGCACAGGAUCGAAUGUCACAUCUUUACUAUAUAAUAGGAGUUUUGUACAAAAUAAAUAAAUAAUUACAUUAUAAGGAGACAACGGUCCAGCAACCCAAAGUUGACUGGGAGACGACGGCCUAGACCUCUCACGAACACAUCGCAGCAUCCUCCAUGUGUCAUCCUACGGUACCUGUUCUUGACCUGUGGGGGGGGUGUGAGACAGCAAGAGUGAGCUCACAUACGUUCAUCGCUCAACAAGUUGUGGGGAAUAAAGUGCAUGAACUCGCCAAAGGUGGGAGCUCACGUGAAGUGUAAGGCUUACCAAAGAGGAUGGUUAGAGCUGAGCAUUGCUUUUAAAGUUGGUCAAAAUUUUAUUAGCAGUUACUAAGUAUAAGUAAAUACCAACCCAAUUAAGUAGUAGAGCAAAAGUAACAUCAUCACCUGCGAUGCAAUGCAUAUGACAAAUUGAAUUUAGUUCCAUAAAUUAAUCAUCAGAGAGUCCUGAGCUGCUCAUGACCGUGAGCUCGGCUAGUAUACCAGUUUUACACUCUGCAGAGGUGGUACCCUUUACCCACAAGUCAUGUUACCCGUCUGCCAAGGGAUCGCGACUUCCCAUACACCUCUACCGAGGAGGCGAGGCAGGGUAACACUACGAGGCCUUUACAAAGUUCCACUAGCUUCAGAAAACCCGCUACAGUUUAUAGGAAGCUCCAAUGCAGGAAUCCCUUGCAGGACCGCCAUCGCAGCAAAAUCCUCCCGAGGGCCUCCCUACACUGACCACUCCCCUACUGCCCUUGCCCCUUUCGGGUAAGGUAGUCCUCCACUAGCUUUCCUAAUUAAUCAGCCAAGGGCGUCCAUAAACCCUUGUGGUGGCACGUGUUUCUCAAGUUAAGCUCUAUGUUCCAAUUAACAUUUAAUGAUCUUGUCAUGAACAUAAAUAGAAUAACAACAUAAUUGGAACAUAGAUGUAAUGAAAUAUUAACCCAAAACCAUAUAAAGCAGUAGCAGAACUACCCAAGUGAUUCAGGGGUAAACAAGGUAUUCAGGAUGAACAAACUAGGGUGACCUAUUGGGUCCCAUCAAAAUUAACCUAUGCAGAUCAUUAUGAUUAAUCAGAACAUGAGUAGGUAAAAAGAAGUGAUCAAGGGCACAACUUGCCUGACACUUGAGAUUCCAGGUACCAACUUGCUCUUCGGAUGACACGUGUCCUCGCGCUAGUCGUAGCAAUACAAACAAAUAUGGUAUAGAUAAAACUAACAUCACACCAAGCAUAAGUACAAACUGAAUAAUAAUGAUCUACGCGUUUCUACGAGACUAACGCAACUUGAACGGAUCAAAUCAGAGUUAAAACGGGGAAGAUACGAAUUUCCUAAUGUUUUAUGUAUUUGAUAUGGAUUUAAUUAGGAAAUAAAUUUUAAGGUGGCUUUCGUGUCAAAUUAGUGGCACUAUUAGAUAAACAAUAAUAUUAUAAAAUUAUAGGAACUGGAAUGACUCAAUUUGGAAUUAGUAUGAAUUUUCUACGGAUUAAACAAAUUCUAGCCAUUAUUUUUAUAUUAAAAAUCCAUUUUCUAUUUAUUUCCCUGGAUUUUCUAUUUACUGGACUGGGCCUCAAUUACUGGUAAGUUCAGGGGCUAACCCGCAAGAUCUCCAAGACACAGCGCCAUCCGCGCUGGACCGCGGGUUGAAUCUCAAUAAACCCAGGGCCCAUAUGCAAAACAGACCCGACGAAGGGGUAUCAGCCAGAUCUGGCCGUCCGAUCCCCAACAGACGGUGCAGAUUAGAUUUGAAUUUUUCAGAAAGGGUAUGAAAUAUAAGGCCUUGGAUCCAGAUCUAACGGUCUGAGUUUUAUGAAAUCUAAUCCAGAUCCGAACCGCACGAUUGCGAUCCAACCGCCCGAAUUCCGCGGGGUGAAGGUGUACGCAGAAUUUAAUCCACUCCCUCCGUUUAGAAUCCUACGGCCCCGGCUUCUAUAACAUGUCUUCUAAUCCUAACCAGUCAUCGCGAGAUCAAGGGCUCUGCGUUCGUCUUCUUCCUUUCGUCAACCCGGCAGUAGUUGCAAGUGCCAGGAAACCCAGCAUGGUGAACGGUGAGCUAGCUACUCGUCGGUACGGGUCGACGUGCGAAUAUAACUCACGUACUGAGAAAGUAAUGGUGGUUUGCAGGGGAGUUAUCAUACCGUGUUUCACGGCGCAAGUACAGUCGUCUAGAAGUCUGCAGCAUGACGGCGAUCCUUCAAUGUCGACAACGAAGCACUCGCACAAUCUUCAACGCUCGGCGAAGAGGCCCGGUCCGCUCCUCAUCGCACGCACAGGAAGUACCUGGACAUCCAGUGCGUGACUUGUCGAACACCCUCUCGGCAACAACACUCACGUUCUCUCUCUUCAUCCUUUGUUUCUCUCGGCGGCUGUGAAUAUGACGGCGCACGCCCGGUGCUUUUCUCCAGGGCGACCGAGACGGCAACUGCCAGGACCAAGAGAUUUAUGGGGGCGCGCAGGGCGGUAGCGCCGGAAAUCCGGUUCUCCGUUUUGGUCGGCGCCCACAUCCCGGAAAUACGCGUAUGCGUAUUCGCAGUGGCCCAGCCGUCAGGGACAGUGAAAGGUAUACGGAUGAGGUCACCUGUGACGCCCGGCCGACGUCACCCACGCAGGAAACUAUUCUUUAUUCGGCUGGAGCGGUCCUCGGCGGGAGAAUAGCUGCAGGAGGAAGCCACCUGGGCCGGCUGUUACGGGGAGGUGGUUACGGCAUGCAUGGAUUUGUUACGGGGAGGAAGACGCGGUUGACAUCAGAGCCUAUAAACUAGUUACCCGCGCAGAGCUUCGUACGUGAUUCUAUCGUCCACAUGUCGGUGACUACGUAGAAGUAGACGUGUGCAUGGAAAUACGGCUGCAUGUGUUGCUUGCUUGAUGUCACACUUGUGUCAUGCUGACCUCAUGUGCGGCAAGAGGAUUAAAUAAAAGAAAAGAAGAGAUGUGGGCUACGGAAUACCUUGGGCUGGGUGGGAGGUGAUCUGGCCCAAGCGCAGGAUUGCUCCUCUUUUUUUUCUAUUUUAAAUUUCUUGUUUUAGUUUCCUUCACAUUUUCAGAUUCCUAUUUCAAAUUCAAAAUUGAUUCAACUUCAAUUUUGCCAGUACAAAAGCUAAUACUAAUGUGACCUCUACCAUUUUCAGUAUUAUUAUUUAUUUUUUUUCCUUGUUGUUUAUUUAGGGAAGGAAUAAAUAGCUUCAUUAAAUUCCCCUUUCUUAUUUUAUAUUUAUAUCUUCGUUUAUACUUUGAGGUCAAAAUUAUGUGUUUAAUAAAGUACCUCCCACAAAGUCAUCAGUAAGAGAUGCACUUUUCAUUAUUUAUUUAUUGGUUGCUUAAUUAAUUUAGUACCAUUAAUUGAUUAUGAGAAGAAAAUAUCCAAAUGUAUUUUCCAAGGGAUUCAACAAUUCUCAAAACACUAUGAUAAAUAUAUUUAUUUAUUUAUUUAUUUAUUUAUUUUAUACCCAAUUUUAGGGCCUUACAAAUGGGUGGAAGUAUAUGUCUAGCACAUUUUGUUUGGGAAGAACUCAUGUUGUUGACUUGCAUAAUGCAUUCAUCAUCCAUUGCAUUGAAGUUUCGUCGCGAUCUUAUGGUCCGACCGUACCGGUACAAUGAGCAUCAUAUAUUGCCCGAG
This 5181-nucleotide long non-coding RNA is filed under the name Zea mays. RNAcentral describes it as "long non-coding RNA (ZMAY_LNC002798)". The record is from RNAcentral. Lineage: Eukaryota; Viridiplantae; Streptophyta; Magnoliopsida; Poales; Poaceae.